This 250-nucleotide ribosomal RNA is filed under the name uncultured prokaryote. RNAcentral describes it as "partial 16S rRNA". It matches the Rfam family "Bacterial small subunit ribosomal RNA", at positions 525 to 775 of the family's 1533-position model. The record is from RNAcentral.
ACGUAGGUGGCAAGCGUUGUCCAGAAUUACUGGGCGUAAAGGGCGCGUAGGCGGCACCUUAAGUCAGAUGUGAAAACCCAGGGCUUAACCUUGGAACUGCAUUUGAAACUGAGGAGCUAGAGUGCCGGAGAGGAAAGCGGAAUUCCUAGUGUGGGGUUAAAAGGGUAGAAAUUAGGGGGAACACCAGUGGCGAAGGCGGCUUUCUGGACGGUAACUGACGCUGAGGCGCGAAAGCGUGGGGAGCAAACAG